This 228-nucleotide ribosomal RNA is filed under the name uncultured bacterium. RNAcentral describes it as "partial 16S ribosomal RNA". It matches the Rfam family "Bacterial small subunit ribosomal RNA", at positions 15 to 239 of the family's 1533-position model. The record is from RNAcentral.
GAUCAUGGCUCAGAUUGAACGCUGGCGGCAGGCUUAACACAUGCAAGUCGAACGGUAGCAGGAGGAAGCUUGCUUUCUUGCUGACGAGUGGCGGACGGGUGAGUAAUGCUUGGGAAUCUGGCUUAUGGAGGGGGAUAACUACAGGAAACUGUAGCUAAUACCGCGUAGUAUCGGAAGAUGAAAGUGCGGGACCGCAAGGCCGCAUGCCAUGAGAUGAGCCCAAGUGGG